UCAUUCCGUUACCUUUUUUUGGUUGCAUUUAUCUCGUGAAUAAACUACGCUCUGACGUCACUUUUCACAUUUCACAGCGUAGAAAUAAAAGCCACAAUCGCUUCCAACUCGUUUGAAAAACAUGAGAUUCCUAAAGGUAUGUAUGAUUAAAAAUAAAUAAUUAUUUCUUAAAAGUGCCAUUUUCCUUAACCUCUUUUGAAAACAUUUUUCAACAAG
This 216-nucleotide long non-coding RNA is filed under the name Mytilus galloprovincialis (Mediterranean mussel). Lineage: Eukaryota; Metazoa; Mollusca; Bivalvia; Mytilida; Mytilidae. The record is from RNAcentral.